RNAcentral lists this ribosomal RNA (108 nucleotides) under Klebsiella pneumoniae. Its description in RNAcentral is "partial 23S ribosomal RNA". It matches the Rfam family "Bacterial large subunit ribosomal RNA", at positions 2820 to 2925 of the family's 2925-position model. Lineage: Bacteria; Pseudomonadati; Pseudomonadota; Gammaproteobacteria; Enterobacterales; Enterobacteriaceae. The record is from RNAcentral.
UUAAGUCUCCUGAAGGAACGUUAAAGACGAUGACGUUGAUAGGCCGGGUGUGUAAGCGCAGCGAUGCGUUGAGCUAACCGGUACUAAUGAACCGUGAGGCUUAACCUU